Molecule: ribosomal RNA, 1680 nt
Filed under: Curimatopsis evelynae (spottail curimata)
Lineage: Eukaryota; Metazoa; Chordata; Actinopteri; Characiformes; Curimatidae
Description: 16S rRNA
Rfam family: Bacterial large subunit ribosomal RNA
Source: RNAcentral
GCCAAACAGCUAGCUCACCCACCAAAACUAAAUUAUUACUAUUAAUAACCUUAUUAAAGCCUACUUAAAUAAACCAAACCAUUUUUCUGCCUUAGUACGGGCGACAGAAAAGGCACUAAUGAAGCAAUAGAAAAAGUACCGCAAGGGAAAGCUGAAAAAGAAAUGAAACAACCCAUUCAAGCCCUAAAAAGCAGAGACUAAUACUCGUACCUUUUGCAUCAUGAUUUAGCCAGCACAUCUAAGCAAAGUGAACUUUAGUUUAAAGCCCCGAAACCAAGUGAGCUACCCCGAGACAGCCUAUUUCAGGGCCAACCCGUCUCUGUGGCAAAAGAGUGGGAAGAUCUCCGGGUAGAGGUGACAGACCUACCGAACUUGGUGAUAGCUGGUUGCCUAAGAAGUGGAUAAAAGUUCAGCCUCGCACUCCUCAUAUCACGUAAAUAUUACUAUCAUAUGAAAAUGAGAAAUUCACGAGAGUUAGUCAAAGGAGGUACAGCUCCUUUGAAUCAGGGUACAACCUGACCAGGCGGUUAAGAAUUAUAAUUACCUAAGAUUACUGCUCCAGUGGGCCUAAAAGCAGCCACCUGUGCAGAAAGCGUUAAAGCUCAGGCAGACAUCCAUCUAUUAUUCUAUUAUAAAACUUCCAAGCCCCUCCCUAUAUUAGGCCUCUCCAUGCACACAUGGAAGAGAUCCUGCUAAAAUGAGUAAUAAGAAGGAACCCCCUUCUCCUAAGCCAAUGUGUAAGUUAGAUCGGACUAACCACUAACGAUUAAUGAACCCAACACAAGAGGGUACUGUGAUAAACAAAAGAAAACAAGAAAAAUACACAACACACAAUCAUUAACCCCACACUGGAAAGCUAUUAAGGAAAGACUAAAAGAAGCGGAAGGAACUCGGCAAACACAAGCCUCGCCUGUUUACCAAAAACAUCGCCUCCUGCAAAAUCCCUGUAUAGGAGGUCCUGCCUGCCCAAUGACUAUAAGUUAAAUGGCCGCGGUAUUUUGACCGUGCUAAGGUAGCGCAAUCACUUGUCUUUUAAAUAGAGACCCGUAUGAAUGGCAAGACGAGGGCUUAUCUGUCUCCCGCUCCCAGUCAAUGAAAUUGAUCUACCCGUGCAGAAGCGGGUAUAAAUAUACAAGACGAGAAGACCCUUUGGAGCUUAAGACAUAAAGCCAACUGUGUUAAAAAUCUAAACAAAAAAGAAUAUAACAAAACAGCACUAAUGGCCCGAGUCUUGGGUUGGGGCGACCGCGGGGGAAAACACAGCCCUCAUGUGGAACGGGAGAAAUCCUAAAACCAAGAGAGACAUCUCUAAGUCACAGAACAUCUGACCAAAAGAUCCGGCCCACAAGCCGAUCAACGAACUAAGUUACCCUAGGGAUAACAGCGCAAUCCCCUCCAAGAGUCCAUAUCGACGAGAGGGUUUACGACCUCGAUGUUGGAUCAGGACAUCCUAAUGGUGCAGCCGCUAUUAAGGGUUCGUUUGUUCAACGAUUAAAGUCCUACGUGAUCUGAGUUCAGACCGGAGCAAUCCAGGUCAGUUUCUAUCUGUAAUUACCACUUUUCCUAGUACGAAAGGGCCGGAAAAAUGAGGCCUCUGCCACAAGCACGCCUCUCCCCAACUUAAUGAAUACAACUAAAUUAAAAAAAGGGGGGUAUACACCCUAGCCAAGAUAAGGCACU